GACGAACGCUGGCGGCGUGCUUAACACAUGCAAGUCGAACGGAGCGAAUGAAAGCUUGCUUUUAUGAGCUUAGUGGCAAACGGGUGAGUAACACGUAGGCAACCUGCCGACAGGAUGGGGACAACAUUCCGAAAGGAAUGCUAAUACCGAAUGAAGCGGAGGAGAGGCAUCUCCCCUCCGUGAAAGAUGGCCUCUUUUUAUGCUAUCACCUGUCGAUGGGCCUGCGUCUGAUUAGCUGGUAGGUGAGGUAACGGCUCACCUAGGCGACGAUCAGUAGCCGGUCUGAGAGGAUGAACGGCCACAUUGGGACUGAGACACGGCCCAGACUCCUACGCUGAGGCAGCAGUGGGGAAUCUUCCGCAAUGGGCGCAAGCCUGACGGAGCAACGCCGCGUGAGUGAAGAAGGUCUUCGGAUCGUAAAGCUCUGUUGAUGGGGACGAACGUGCCUAAUGCGAAUAGUA
Molecule: ribosomal RNA, 461 nt
Filed under: Centipeda noxia
Lineage: Bacteria; Bacillati; Bacillota; Negativicutes; Selenomonadales; Selenomonadaceae
Description: bacterial SSU rRNA
Rfam family: Bacterial small subunit ribosomal RNA
Source: RNAcentral